AGCUGGGAGGAGACCUUUUUCCAAAGUCACUCACACAGCCUCAGGUGUUUACAGGCCUCAGGUCCUUGCUGGCUGUUGGCCAGAGGCCUCAGUUCCUUGCCACAAGGGCCUCCCCAUAGGUUACUCACAACAUAACAGUUUGCAGCCCCCAGAACAAGGACCCCAGAGACAGAGUGAGAGAGGGCAAGAGAAGGCAAGAUGCAAGUCACACUCUUUUUGUAACCUAAUCCCAUCACAUUUCCUGAAUUCUGCUCAUUAGAAAGAAGUCACUAGAUUCAGCCCACAUUCAAGAUGAGAAAUACCAGAAGACAGAGAACACUGAGGCUGUUUUAGAGGCUGUCAACCCCAGGGAGACAGACAGCAAAUAAGUAAGCAAAUAAAUAAAAAUGGAAGGUGAUAAUAAGUGCAAUGAAAAGAAAUGAAGCAGAGUAAAGAAUCAAGAGUAGCAGUUGAGGGGCAAACAUGGAGGAACAGAGUUUGGAGCAAUACCCUGACUUACAUUCAGUACUGUUAAUGGCUCCAGCAUCUUGAAACAAACCAAUUUUGGAUUUUCAGCCGCUGUCCAAGAUGACGUGAACUCCAGGCUAUUGACUUUCCUCUACCUUCAAUGGAAAUUGUCAUGGAGAAUUAAGUUUUUGACAAAUCUACAGCCUAUGUGCAGGGCUUCUUCCUGGGUGUAACAAUAAGGAAUUUGGAAACUGUCUCUAGUUUUGGCCUGGAGACACACUGCAGCUUGAGACCCUGUCAUUUCCAUCAAGCUUGAAAAUAUACAUCUUAAUAAACUGCAAUACUUCUUAAA
Molecule: long non-coding RNA, 799 nt
Organism: Pan troglodytes (chimpanzee)
Lineage: Eukaryota; Metazoa; Chordata; Mammalia; Primates; Hominidae
Exons: 3
Source: RefSeq, a predicted model, not a curated record